RNAcentral lists this ribosomal RNA (500 nucleotides) under uncultured bacterium. RNAcentral describes it as "partial 16S ribosomal RNA". It matches the Rfam family "Bacterial small subunit ribosomal RNA", at positions 29 to 523 of the family's 1533-position model. The record is from RNAcentral.
AUUGAACGCUGGCGGCAUGCCUUACACAUGCAAGUCGAACGGCAGCGCGGGCUUCGGCCUGGCGGCGAGUGGCGAACGGGUGAGUAAUACAUCGGAACGUGCCCUGUUGUGGGGGAUAACUAGUCGAAAGAUUAGCUAAUACCGCAUACGACCUGAGGGUGAAAGCGGGGGACCGUAAGGCCUUGCGCAAUAGGAGCGGCCGAUGUCUGAUUAGCUAGUUGGUGGGGUAAGAGCCUACCAAGGCGACGAUCAGUAGCUGGUCUGAGAGGACGAUCAGCCACACUGGGACUGAGACACGGCCCAGACUCCUACGGGAGGCAGCAGUGGGGAAUUUUGGACAAUGGGGGCAACCCUGAUCCAGCAAUGCCGCGUGUGUGAAGAAGGCCUUCGGGUUGUAAAGCACUUUUGUCCGGAAAGAAAUCCUCUGCCCUAAUACGGCGGGGGGAUGACGGUACCGGAAGAAUAAGCACCGGCUAACUACGUGCCAGCAGCCGCAGUAA